AUUUAAAUAGUUUAUAAAAAAAAUUUUAGUACGUGAAACUAAAGAUAUGAUAAUUUCAUUUUAAAUA
RNAcentral lists this transfer RNA (67 nucleotides) under Staphylinidae sp. 1 EF-2015. RNAcentral's name for it is "tRNA-His". The record is from RNAcentral. Lineage: Eukaryota; Metazoa; Arthropoda; Insecta; Coleoptera; Staphylinidae.